This 87-nucleotide unclassified non-coding RNA is filed under the name Pseudomonas fragi. Lineage: Bacteria; Pseudomonadati; Pseudomonadota; Gammaproteobacteria; Pseudomonadales; Pseudomonadaceae. The record is from RNAcentral.
UGUGGGAGCGGGCUUGCUCGCGAUGCAGGCAACGCGGUUUGCCUGCAUCUGUGCGGCGCAUUCAUCGCGAGCAAGCCCGCUCCCACA